RNAcentral lists this ribosomal RNA (467 nucleotides) under uncultured bacterium. Its description in RNAcentral is "partial 16S ribosomal RNA". It matches the Rfam family "Bacterial small subunit ribosomal RNA", at positions 28 to 506 of the family's 1533-position model. The record is from RNAcentral.
GACGAACGCUGGCGGCGUGCUUAACACAUGCAAGUCGAACGGAAAGGCCCUGCUUUUGUGGGGUGCUCGAGUGGCGAAAGGGUGAGUAACACGUGAGUAACCUGCCCUUGACUUUGGGAUAACUUCAGGAAACUGGGGCUAAUACCGGAUAGGAGCUCCUGCUGCAUGGUGGGGGUUGGAAAGUUUCGGCGGUUGGGGAUGGACUCGCGGCUUAUCAGCUUGUUGGUGGGGUAGUGGCUUACCAAGGCUUUGACGGGUAGCCGGCCUGUGAGGGUGACCGGCCGCAUUGCGCCUGAGGUACGGCCCCGACUCCUACGGGUGGCAGCAGUUGGGACUAUUGCUCAGUGGGCGGAAGCCUGCUGCAGCAUCGCCGCGUGCGUGAUGGUGGCCUUCGGGUUGUACACCGCUUUCGCCUGUGACGAAGCUUGUGUGACUGUAGUGGGUAAAGAAGCACCGGCUACCUUCGU